RNAcentral lists this ribosomal RNA (408 nucleotides) under uncultured bacterium. RNAcentral's name for it is "partial 16S ribosomal RNA". It matches the Rfam family "Bacterial small subunit ribosomal RNA", at positions 29 to 526 of the family's 1533-position model. The record is from RNAcentral.
AGUGAACGCUGGCGGCGUGCCUAAUACAUUCAAGUCGAACGGAGUGACGCACGGGUGAGUAAUGUAUAGCUAAUCUGCCCUACACUAGAGGACAACAGUUGGACACGGCUACUAAUACUCUAUAGUGUAGGAUGAGGCUAUAUUGUAUAAGCUAGUUGGUUAGGUAAGUGCUCACCAAUGGUAUGACGCAGAACUCGUCUGUUAGGCGGAUCAGUCACACUGGAACUGAGACACGGGGCAGACUCCUACGGGAGGCAGCAGUAGGGAAUAUGGCUCAAGGGGGGAGACCCUGAAGCAGAAACGCCGCGUGGAGGAGUACACUUUUCGGAGCGUAAACUCCUUUUGUUAGUCAAGCGUUACCUAACGAAUAAGGACCGGCGAACUCCGUGCCAGCAGCCGCGGUAAUAC